Molecule: ribosomal RNA, 468 nt
Filed under: uncultured bacterium
Lineage: Bacteria
Description: partial 16S ribosomal RNA
Rfam family: Bacterial small subunit ribosomal RNA
Source: RNAcentral
GACGAACGCUGGCGGCGUGCUUAACACAUGCAAGUCGAACGGAAAGGCCCUGCUUUUGUGGGGUGCUCGAGUGGCGAACGGGUGAGUAACACGUGAGUAACCUGCCCUUGACUUUGGGAUAACUUCAGGAAACUGGGGCUAAUACCGGAUAGGAGCUCCUGCUGCAUGGUGGGGGUUGGAAAGUUUCGGCGGUUGGGGAUGGACUCGCGGCUUAUCAGCUUGUUGUUGGGGUAGUGGCUUACCAAGGCUUUGACGGGUAGCCGGCCUGAGAGGGUGACCGGCCACAUUGGGACUGAGAUACGGCCCAGACUCCUAAGGGAGGCAGCAGUGGGGAAUAUUGCACAAUGGGCGGAAGCCUGAUGCAGCAACGCCGCGUGCGGGAUGACGGCCUUCGGGUUGUAAACCGCUUUCGCCUGUGACGAAGCGUGAGUGACGGUAAUGGGUAAAGAAGCACCGGCUAACUACGUG